Molecule: unclassified non-coding RNA, 1294 nt
Filed under: uncultured Neocallimastigales
Lineage: Eukaryota; Fungi; Neocallimastigomycota; Neocallimastigomycetes; Neocallimastigales
Description: partial contains small subunit ribosomal RNA, internal transcribed spacer 1, 5.8S ribosomal RNA, internal transcribed spacer 2, and large subunit ribosomal RNA
Rfam family: Eukaryotic large subunit ribosomal RNA (bases 621-1294)
Source: RNAcentral
GAAGUAAAGUCGUAACAGGUUUCCGUAGGUGAACCUGCGGAAGGAUCAUUAAUAAAUGGCUCGAUUUUAGAGCAUUAAUAAUCAUCCUACCCUUUGUGAUUUGUUGUUUGAAAUAAUUUUUUUUAAAAUUAUUGAUGUCUUUCCCUGUUGAAUUGGUUGGUCGUAAGACUAAGUGAUUCUCAGGGGAUAGUCAAUAAUUUUUAAAAAGACCUUUUUUUAAAUUAAACUUUUUGUAUUCAUUUGUCUAAAUAUUUUUAUAAUAUAAAAACAACUUUUGACAAUGGAUCUCUUGGUUCUCGCAACGAUGAAGAACGCAGCAAAAUGCGAUAAGUAGUGUGAAUUGCAGAAUACGUGAAUCAUCGAUCUUCGAACGCAUAUUGCACUUUUUUAGUUUACUAGAAAAGUAUGUCUGUUUGAGUAUCAGUAAAAUAUUCUCAUAAAACUUUUUUUUUAUGGUUAUGAGUGUUUUACAACGAUACAAGUUGUUUCACUUUAAAUUUUUUUAAAAUUGAAUUUUUCUAUUUUAAUAUAAAAUUGGAUAAAAUUUUCCGUAAAAGGAAUAACCUAAACAUUUUUACUAUUUAGAAGCAAAAUCAAAAAGGAAAUUUAUAAAAAUAACUUGAUCUCAAAUCAGAUAAGAGUACCGCUGAACUUAAGCAUAUCAAUAAGCGGAGGAAAAGAAACUAACAAGGAUUCCCUUAGUAACGGCGAGUGAAGCGGAAGAGCUCAAAUUUGAAAUCUUCAGGUUUACCUUGACGAAUUGUAGUUUAAAGAGUGUUUUCUGUUGAGUUUGGUAAAGUUUUUGGAAUAGGACAUCAUAGAGGGUGAGAAUCCCGUAUUUGACCAUUAUUUUCAGCUGUGUGAUACACUUUCAAAGAGUCGGAUUGUUUGGGAAUGCAGUCCAAAAUGGGUGGUAAAUUUCAUCUAAAGCUAAAUAUGGCGAGAGACCGAUAGCGACAAGUACGUGAGGGAAAGAUGAAAAGAACUUUGAAAGAGAGUUAAACAGUACGUGAAAUUGUCAAAGGGAAGCGUUUGACACCAGUGUUGUUUUCUCGAAAAUCAAUUAAAAGGUGAUUUGUGUGUAUUGACCUUAACAGCUUUCUUACUUUUUCUGCUUUUUAAUGCACUUUUCGUUAACAAGUCAACAUCAGUUUCUUUUGUUGUAAAAGGUCAUUGGAAGGUGGCUUCUUUUCGGAGAAAGUGUUUAUAGCCUUUGAUCUCUGCAAUCGGAGAGCUGAGGUCUGCAGCGUAGAUCUUCGGUUAGAUACAUUUGUGCUAAGUUAUAGCUUUUAUA